This 485-nucleotide ribosomal RNA is filed under the name uncultured bacterium. Its description in RNAcentral is "partial 16S ribosomal RNA". It matches the Rfam family "Bacterial small subunit ribosomal RNA", at positions 29 to 523 of the family's 1533-position model. The record is from RNAcentral.
AGUGAACGCUGGCGGCGUGCUUAACACAUGCAAGUCGAACGAGAACGGAAUAUAGCUUGCUAUAUUUGUCAGCUAAGUGGCGCACGGGUGAGUAAUGUAUAGAUAACCUGCCCUUAAGAAAGGAAUAACAGUUGGAAACGACUGCUAAUGCCCUAUAUGCCUUUAAUACAUAAGUAUGCAAGGGAAACGCUUUAGUGCUUAAGGAUGGGUCUGUAUGGUAUCAGCUUGUUGGUGAGGUAAUGGCUCACCAAGGCUAUGACACCUAACUGGUUUGAGAGGAUGAUCAGUCACACUGGAACUGAGACACGGUCCAGACUCCUACGGGAGGCAGCAGUGGGGAAUAUUGCACAAUGGACGAAAGUCUGAUGCAGCAACGCCGCGUGGAGGAUGACACAUUUCGGUGCGUAAACUCCUUUUAUACAGGAGGAUAAUGACGGUACUAUAUGAAUAAGCACCGGCUAACUCCGUGCCAGCAGCCGCCGUAA